UAUCCGGGAAUUAUUGGGCGUAAGCGUCCGCAGGCGGUCCAGAAAGUCUGCUGUUAAAAAGUGGAGCUUAAACUCCAUCAUGGCAGUGGAAACUACUGGACUAGAGUGUGGUAGGGGCAGAGGGAAUUCCCGGUGUAGCGGUGAAAUGCGUAGAUAUCGGGAAGAACACCAGUGGCGAAGGCGCUCUGCUGGGCCAUAACUGACGCUCAUGGACGAAAGCCAGGGGAGCGAAAGGGAUUAGAUACCCCUGUAGUCCUGGCCGUAAACGAUGAACACUAGGUGUCGGGGGAAUCGACCCCCUCGGUGUCGUAGCCAACGCGUUAAGUGUUCCGCCUGGGGAGUACGCACGCAAGUGUGAAACUCAAAGGAAUUGACGGGGGCCCGCACAAGCGGUGGAGUAUGUGGUUUAAUUCGAUGCAACGCGAAGAACCUUACCAGGGUUUGACAUCCUGCGAAUCUCCUGGAAACGGGAGAGUGCCUUCGGGAACGCAGUGACAGGUGGUGCAUGGCUGUCGUCAGCUCGUGUCGUGAGAUGUUGGGUUAAGUCCCGCAACGAGCGCAACCCACGUCUUUAGUUGCCAGCAUUCAGUUGGGCACUCUAGAGAGACCGCCGGUGAUAAACCGGAGGAAGGUGUGGAUGACGUCAAGUCAUCAUGCCCCUUACAUCCUGGGCUACACACGUACUACAAUGCUACGGACAAAGAGCAGCAAGUUCGCGAGGACAAGCAAAUCUCAUAAACCGUGGCUCAGUUCAGAUCGUAGGCUGCAACUCGCCUACGUGAAGGAGGAAUCGCUAGUAAUCGCAGGUCAGCAUACUGCGGUGAAUACGUUCCCGGGCCUUGUACACACCGCCCGUCACACCAUGGAACUUGGCCACGCCCGAAGCCGUUACUCCAACCCUUGUGGAGGAGGACGUCGAAGGUGGGGCUGAUGACGUGGGGUGAAGUCGUAACAAGGUAGCCGUAAAUCGUCGAC
Molecule: ribosomal RNA, 975 nt
Filed under: uncultured bacterium
Lineage: Bacteria
Description: bacterial SSU rRNA
Rfam family: Bacterial small subunit ribosomal RNA
Source: RNAcentral